UGUCCUCAAAACUGCUGCUUAGAGCUUUGUGGUAUUCCACCUUCCUCCCCCAUUUGUUGUGGGUCAUUAAUCCCUUUCUGUUCUUCUUCCUAGUAUCAUCCUUGCUUAGCUUGCAGCGGUAUGUUUUUGUAUUUUGUUCUUCAUUUAUUUCCCUCAAUUUUUGACUUCCUCCAUUUCAAUGAUGGAGACUUAAUCCGGUGAUGUAGUGGUUGCCUAAGAUAGUUCUUUGUAGAGGUGCCUAGUCCUGUGGUCUGACUCUCAAUUCCUUGAUAAAGAUGAUUUGGUUGGAUAUGUUCCUCCAGUAAGACUUGAUGCUGCAUUUUCUAUGUGGAAUCUAAAAAAGAGUUGGUCGUUGAUUCUUCAGGAGAGAGAUGAUUUGGCUGGAUAUGUUCCUCCAGUGAGACUUGAUGCUGCAUUUUCUAUGUGGAAUCCCAAAAAGAGUUGGUCGUUGAUUCUUCAGGUUUUUCCUUUUUGAUGAUAUUCUAUAAAGUGGCUAAUUCUUUUUAUAAGAAGUAACACUUUUGAUCUAGUAAAUUUUGAAUAAUUGAAAAGAAAUCUUCAAUUGUGUAUGAAUAUUGAGCAAAAUUAUUUUUUGUUUCAAAUCUUCUGAAACCCCAUUUUCAUGAUA
Long non-coding RNA from Solanum pennellii, 628 nucleotides. RefSeq lists it as uncharacterized. The record is from RefSeq and is a predicted model, not a curated record. The transcript has 3 exons. Lineage: Eukaryota; Viridiplantae; Streptophyta; Magnoliopsida; Solanales; Solanaceae.